RNAcentral lists this ribosomal RNA (301 nucleotides) under uncultured bacterium. Its description in RNAcentral is "partial 16S ribosomal RNA". It matches the Rfam family "Bacterial small subunit ribosomal RNA", at positions 509 to 807 of the family's 1533-position model. The record is from RNAcentral.
CAGUAGCCGCGGGAAUACAGAGGGUGCGAGCGUUAAUCGGAUUUACUGGGCGUAAAGAGUGCGUAGGCGGCUUCUUAAGUCGGAUGUGAAAUCCCUGAGCUUAACUUAGGAAUUGCAUUCGAUACUGGGAAGCUAGAGUAUGGGAGAGGAUGGUAGAAUUCCAGGUGUAGCGGUGAAAUGCGUAGAGAUCUGGAGGAAUACCGAUGGCGAAGGCAGCCAUCUGGCCUAAUACUGACGCUGAGGUACGAAAGCAUGGGGAGCAAACAGGAUUAGAUACCCGGGUAGUCCCUGUCUCUUAUAC